This 787-nucleotide long non-coding RNA is filed under the name Mytilus galloprovincialis (Mediterranean mussel). The record is from RNAcentral. Lineage: Eukaryota; Metazoa; Mollusca; Bivalvia; Mytilida; Mytilidae.
GGCCUUUAUUAUCAAUAGAAAUGAAACGUUUAGAAAGUUCGUAUUGAUGACACACCCAGAACAUUUUUCUGGAUCCACACCUGCUUACUGACAACAAAUUAAUAGCAUACUCACAAAAUGCAUGUCUUCUUGAAUUCAAAUUAAACAAGUUUUAUAUAGGCGCGUAAUACACAAUUAGAUAACACACAACCCUCGGCUAAUAUUGAAUUCAAAAAGAAAUAAUCCAAAAAAUAUCCGUGUUUAAGUUUUUUUCUUUUAUCAAAGCCCACAUGGCAUCUUUUAAGUCUUCUGGUUGUUUUUACUUGCGGCAAAUACCAAAUUUACAUUCAUCUAUUGGUUUUCACGUGCUUCAAAAUGUCACGUUUAAUGUGUUCCGUUUCUUUACAAUUGCUUCCAAUAUAUCAAAUGUCAUCUUUAAAGUGUUCUGUUUGCUUUCAUUUGCUUUCAAAUACCAAAUUCAAGCAUAGCAGUGUUUUUUCAGUUGUAUCCGAAUGUCAUUGAGAAUUAUUAUAGUUGUUUUCGUUUGUUUACAAAUGCUAAUUACCAGCUUUAAAAUUUGUUACGUAUACGGUGCAGGAAAUGCUUACCCUUCCGGAGCACCUGAUUAUACUCCCGGUUUUUGGUGGAGUUCGUGUUGUUUCUUUUUUAUUAUUUGCAACUGUUGAUGUCAAUGUCUUUUGGUUUUAUGAGUCUUUGUUUACUCCUUGGUUUGAUUGUUAUUGUCUUGUUAUUUUUACAUGACUCUCAAAACCAUUUUGAAUGUAGAAUCACAAUCUUGGAUUGUAAA